Long non-coding RNA from Drosophila teissieri, 1707 nucleotides. RefSeq lists it as uncharacterized. The record is from RefSeq and is a predicted model, not a curated record. The transcript has 3 exons. Lineage: Eukaryota; Metazoa; Arthropoda; Insecta; Diptera; Drosophilidae.
AUAGCAGAAUUUACUGCAGCAUUUUUGAAUAUCAAUACAUAAAGCUUCCAACGUCCGUCGCAAGACCCGAUGCAAGCCUCGAUACAAGCCACAAUGCAAGCGCCAUCAUCAGACAUUCCAACGCUUCCAAUCUCUCGAUUCUCGGGCAGUUCUAAUGAUUGACCAUCUUUCUACCACAGCUCAAUAUAUGGCCAUUCGCAUGAUCCAACAGUUUGCGAAGGACAAACGCAAUAAAUAACUUCUUGCAGAACAUGUCUUAGGAAUGUCUUUGCCCGUUGGAGUUCCUAGCACCCGUGAUCGUUAUGUCAAAGAUCCUCCUGAAAGACACCUGGACCUUCCGCAUUCAGCAAACCUGGAGCACUUGACUGAGAUGAUUCCUUACCAGACACGCUAGCUGAGCUUUGGCAGCAAUACAUCGAAAAGCUCCCAGAUAUCCAACAAAUCCAUGGUCCACGCUGGCUUGGAUUCGACUUAAGCAAUGUUGUUUCUCUCCAGAUGCAUAUGUUUUGCUAUGGAUCAUCUUCUGAAUAUGCCGCGUGCGCAUACCUCUGAUCUCAGGACAUGAACGGGACACACAAAUUUACUCGCAGUUGGGUUCAAUUAACUAUACCUCUCACCAUACAUAGGUCUCCAAUCAUUUAGGCACUAUCCACGAAAUAAGUUCUGCCUCACAGCUCUGCCACUUGGCCAACACGCCAUUCUACAUUUAAAGCAUACUUUCAUACAUACUACAGUAUUCAUUCAUAACAUUCAUACAUAUCAUACAUCAUUCAUACAUACUACUAGCUAUUCAUUUAUAAAGCUAUUCAUUUGUAUCAUUUGUAAAGCUAUUUAUAUAGAGCUGGUCACCGGUAUCACCGCACAUUUCCUCUGGGCACCGCAACGUUUUAUCAGCCGAAGAGGACUGGAUCGACACAUGUACAGCCACUGCGGUACUAAUUUAAUCGCUGCAGAUAAGUCUGUACAGCAGUGGACGAAGGUCUUCAGCCAAAAAGUCAUUGACGUUGUGGUUCCAGAACUCACGAAGCGGCAUAUUCCGCGGCACUUAAACCCUCAGCACUGUCCGAAUUUUGGAGAACUUUGGGAAGCAAAGUUCUUUUUAAGGAAACCCAAUGACAUACGAGCAUCUAUCAACUCUACGCCUCCAGAUACCAGGACCUUUAAUUGAUAUUUUGAGACAAUGGCCAUAUGCGGCCAGGGGAAGGAAGGGUUACGCGGUUUGAUAUCUGUCCGUAGAGUUUAUCAGAGUCUAUUUGAAGAAUGAAUGGAUUUAGUGGAGACAGAAACUAUGCGGCGAGGAAUGUACAGCUUCUCGAGACAGAUAAACACUUCUUCGACACCGGCGCUACGAGUUGGGUAGAGCCAGAUAUAUUUCAAAAAGCCAUCCACUACAACAAGGAUGUAAUUUUAGCGCUUGAAUGUUGAAAGGUGCUCAAUCUUGUAGUUGAAGUCCUGCAAAUAUAUCAAGUGAAGCGACUCAUGUUUUGGACUGAAUGAAUGAAACUAUCUUACGGAUCGUUUUGCAAUAAGACGGCGCACAGUGGCGCAUUAGAUACAAAUGCUAUACUAAAUUCAAAUUUAGUAUCGUUGCGUGGGACAUCGCAUUCGACAGGUAAUAGUUCAAAAGGGUUGAAUCCAAAAAAUUCCAUGGCGUUGAAGUAUGAGGUGUUGUUCUUGAAUAUGUUCUUUAUCAGAAUUGUUUUUCAA